UGGGGAAUAUUGCACAAUGGGCGCAAGCCUGAUGCAGCCAUGCCGCGUGUAUGAAGAAGGCCUUAGGGUUGUAAAGUACUUUCAGCGGGGAGGAAGGUGAUAAGGUUAAUACCCUUGUCAAUUGACGUUACCCGCAGAAGAAGCACCGGCUAACUCCGUGCCAGCAGCCGCGGUAAUACGGAGGGUGCAAGCGUUAAUCGGAAUUACUGGGCGUAAAGCGCACGCAGGCGGUCAAUUAAGUCAGAUGUGAAAGCCCCGAGCUUAACUUGGGAAUUGCAUCUGAAACUGGUUGGCUAGAGUCUUGUAGAGGGGGGUAGAAUUCCAUGUGUAGCGGUGAAAUGCGUAGAGAUGUGGAGGAAUACCGGUGGCGAAGGCGGCCCCCUGGACAAAGACUGACGCUCAGGUGCGAAAGCGUGGGGAGCAAACA
RNAcentral lists this ribosomal RNA (427 nucleotides) under uncultured bacterium. Its description in RNAcentral is "partial 16S ribosomal RNA". It matches the Rfam family "Bacterial small subunit ribosomal RNA", at positions 355 to 774 of the family's 1533-position model. The record is from RNAcentral. RNAcentral also lists the same sequence under 1 other name.